GAUUAAGUCAAUGAAACUAAGGAAAUUCAGAACUAAAUGCAUGAAAAUCACAACACCAAAGGAACUCGUAUAAGGCAAAAGAAAACAAAAACAAACAAGCCACACCUCCAGGGAAGAUAAAGCAAAAUAAGAGGCGCGUAGCACUUUUCUUUCAGCUAUUGGUAGCUACAAGUUGGAGAUGCUGGAACAACCAGCAGGAGUUCUGUUGUUAGAGGAGACUGCAAAGAUGAAGAGGGAGAAGGAUAACAGUCGAAAGUAAAACGCGAGGGAAAGCAGCAUGGAGAUUCACUGAAGGGAGGGAAACCUUUGGAAUUGAGAGGUUUAAAAAGUGGUAUUCAGUUUACAUUAUUCCUGCUCAGUUUCAGGAAACUUAAAACAGAAAUCCAGCAGUCUUUUCAACAGUAACAGCAGGGUUGUGUGUUUUUACUGGCAGUGAAUCCAAAAUAAAGCAAGUAAAAAUAAAAAGGCAAGAGACCCAUUCAACAGAAAUGUGGUUUUGAAUCUGUGUUUACUCUGAAUUAGGAUUCCAGCUAAUGCUGAACACAGUAAACAGUUAUCUACGUAAGAACCAGAAAUUAACAACUUGCAAUAUUUCAGCAUUCAGGAAUUCAUGGCUGCAGCUGAAGGAAGGAUUCCUGCAAAGUCUCCCUGUGACAGACUGCUGAAUUGUCCAAGAUGACUUUAUCAGCUGGGCUUCUUCUCCUCUGUGGCUCAAGCUACAGCUGAGGCCAAGUGUCUGCUAAAUGGCGACAUCAGCUGCCGAGCCUCAAAGCUAUGGUGUCAUCUAUAUGUAUCUACAGGGAAGCCACUCGAUACGAAGAGGUCAUCCAGUGUGACGAAGAGACGCAGCAGCACAAAGGCUUUUCACUCUCGGGCUUAUUAGUGGAUCACAGUUUAUAUGAGACUUUGACAUCUCCUUUCUUCCCUUUUCUACCACGGCUAUUGUCUUCCCUGGAUUAAAGAGAAAUGAAAAGAAAGUAAUUUCAGACAAAUUUAAAUCUUCAAAGACUUAUUUGGGGACAGAAAUUGUCUGUGAAGAAAAAAUAGAUCCAUCUCAUUUCUAGGAUGUCUGAUUUUGCCGUUCUGUCAAAGCAGCUGGCAUCAGGCAAGACGUGCUUUACAACAAACAUAAGGACCGUGGCACAACAGUUUAUAGCAACACUAAGGCGGGGCUGUCACUUCCAGUUCAAUAUAAUCACUCUUUAAGGAGCGCAGUGCUGUGAAUUUUAAUAUUUAGAAAGAUAACUAAGUAAAUAUAAAACACAGUUUUUAAAUGAUGAUUUCAUUUAUUAAGGGAAAUAAGCUUUCCAAACCUACCUGACUCUGUAAAAAAGUAAUUUCAGAUCUCUGCAGCAAUUUUGUGCACAAGACGUUUUUCGAGGGACUUAAACAGCUUAUUUAAGGUCAUGCCAAAGGGUUUCAGUAAGAUUUAAAUUUGGACUUUGACUAGGCCACACCAAAACCCUACUUUUUUUUUUUUUGUAAACAUUUAGAGGUGGACAUGAUGGUGGCCCUGGUGCAUACUCCACAUGGGCUUCAGUUUCAGGGCGUGAACUGAUGGCUGGAAAUUUCCUUCAGGAUUUUCUUAGAGAGCAGAAUUCAUGGUUCCAUCAAUUGCAGGAAAUGGUCGGGGUCCCCUGACCUUAACUGAGACCAGUGAGGCCUGCAGUUCUUUAGAUGUUUCUCUGGUUCCUUUUGUGACCUCCUGGAUGAGUCGCUGAUACAUUCUUGAAGUAAUUUCGGUAUAUCGGCCACUCCAGUGAAGGUUCGUCACUGUUUUCUCUAUUUGUGGAUAAUGGCUCUGACUGUGAUUUACUGGAGACACAAAGCCUUAGAAAUGGCUUUGUAAUCCUUUCCCAACUGAUAGAUGUCGGUGACUUUGUUCCUCAGUUGUUUCUUUAGUUUAUAUCAUCAUGUGUUGCUUUUUGAGAUCUUUUAGCCUGAUUCAGUUUUAUCAGACAGUUUCUAUUUAAGUGAUUUCUUCAUCCAACAAGUCUGCCAGUAAACAGGUGAACUUAGCUUCCCAAAAACAAGAUUAAUCGAGUUAAUUCAUGAUUUAACAAUAGUGCUAAUUAAUUUUUCACACAGCCCCAGGUGGAUAGCUUUAAGAUGCAAAAAAACUAAUAAAUCAGGAAGAGGGCAACAAUUAUACACAACACUGUAAAUGGUGAAAAAGUGCAAAAGAGCAUAAUUGAGUCAUUUAAAAGUAAGUGAAAACAAAUAAUAUGCAAAACUUGAGAGGUUGUAGUCUCCACCAGAUGGGAGGGACUAUGUAAUCGACUCCAUUUCUCUGUUUGUCUCUAUGUUUGUUAGCAGUCUAGUGUCCACGGGUUUUAAGAUAUUAUGUUCAAAUGUUGUGCGGUGGAAGAUAUCAGUGACGUCGUGAGCUGAUUUAAUUUUGGUGAAAAUCGGAUCAAUCAAUGUCAGACCAAAUGUGAAAAGCAGUAAAAUCUUUAUAUUACACAGAAUUUUUUAUGGAUGGUCUUCAAACUUCAAAAUGCGGCUCAGUGGAGAGCGUGCUCUUCUGCUGCCUGGGUGUUUGAUACGCAGG
Molecule: long non-coding RNA, 2551 nt
Organism: Oreochromis niloticus (Nile tilapia)
Lineage: Eukaryota; Metazoa; Chordata; Actinopteri; Cichliformes; Cichlidae
Exons: 3
Source: RefSeq, a predicted model, not a curated record